This 537-nucleotide ribosomal RNA is filed under the name Trigonopterus ragaorum. RNAcentral describes it as "partial large subunit ribosomal RNA". Lineage: Eukaryota; Metazoa; Arthropoda; Insecta; Coleoptera; Curculionidae. The record is from RNAcentral.
GGCUUGUUGAUAAUAAUUUCAAGUCUGACCUGCCCAAUGAGUGAUUUAAUGGCCGCGGUAUAUUGACCGUGCAAAGGUAGCAUAAUCAUUAGUUUUUUUAUUGAAAGCUAGAAUGAAGGGUUUGAUGAAAAAAUUUCUGUCUCUAGAAAAAUUUAUUAGAAUUUUAUUUUUAAGUGAAAAAGCUUAAAUGAGUAUAGAAGACGAGAAGACCCUAUAGAGUUUAAUAUUUAAUUUAUAUAAGGUAAUUUUUGGCUCUAAAAAUUAAUUUUUAGUUUAAGUAUUUCAUUGGGGUGAUUAAAAAAUUAAUUAAACUUUUUUUUGUUAGAAACAUUGGUUUGUGGAUAAUUGAUCCUAUUUUUUARAUUAAAARAUUUAAUUACCUUAGGGAUAACAGCGUAAUUUUUCUUARAGUUCUUAUCGAAAGAAGGGAUUGCGACCUCGAUGUUGGAUUAAAAUAAAUUGUUGGCGCARAAGCUAACGGAUUGAGUCUGUUCGACUUUUAAAAUUUUACAUGAUCUGAGUUUAAACCGGUGUGAG